UAUAAGGGAUUUUGAGUUUUUGCUUGCAACAUUUGACCACUCGUCUUAUUCAAAAUUUUUUAAAAUUAUUAAUUAUUUUAUUUAUGACUUACUUUAUUAUCUACAGUAUUUUAAGCACAACUUUUUGUUUUUUUAUAUUUGCAAAAAAAAUUUAAAUAAGACGAGUGGUCAAACGUUGUAAGCAAAAAUUGAAAAUCUUAUA
This 202-nucleotide microRNA precursor is filed under the name Oryza sativa Indica Group (long-grained rice). Its description in RNAcentral is "MIR812 microRNA precursor family". It matches the Rfam family "MIR812 microRNA precursor family". The record is from Rfam by way of RNAcentral. Lineage: Eukaryota; Viridiplantae; Streptophyta; Magnoliopsida; Poales; Poaceae.